Molecule: unclassified non-coding RNA, 333 nt
Filed under: soil metagenome
Description: partial contains 5.8S ribosomal RNA, internal transcribed spacer 2, and large subunit ribosomal RNA
Rfam family: 5.8S ribosomal RNA (bases 1-121)
Source: RNAcentral
GAUGAAGAACGUAGCGAAAUGCGAUAAGUAAUGCGAAUUGCAGAAUUUCCGUGAAUCAUCGAAUCUUUGAACGCACAUUGCGCCCGCCAGUAUUCUGGCGGGCAUGCCUGUUCGAGCGUCAUUUCAACCCUCAAGCACAGCUUGGUGUUGGGACUCGCGUUAAUUCGCGUUCCCCAAAUUGAUUGGCGGUCACGUCGAGCUUCCAUAGCGUAGUAGUAAAACCCUCGUUACUGGUAAUCGUCGCGGCCACGCCGUUAAACCCCAACUUCUGAAUGUUGACCUCGGAUCAGGUAGGAAUACCCGCUGAACUUAAGCAUAUCAAUAAGCGGAGGA